This 439-nucleotide long non-coding RNA is filed under the name Mytilus galloprovincialis (Mediterranean mussel). Lineage: Eukaryota; Metazoa; Mollusca; Bivalvia; Mytilida; Mytilidae. The record is from RNAcentral.
AGAAUAACUGUGAAAUCAAUGCUCCAGACAAGGAUGGUUGGACUCCUUUAUGGCAUGCCUAUGGGAACAAUGACGAAGACAGUAUGAAAUUGUUACUGAAAUCAGGGGCAGAUAAGAAUGUAAGAAAUGCAGAUGGAGUUACAAUAAUGGAUGAAGCAAGAGAUGCAGACGAUGAUAGCAUGAUAGAAUUAUUACAAAGUUUUUCACAAGCAUGGACAUGAGUGAUAUAGUAAAGUUUCAAUAUAAAUGAAUCUUCCAACUUUAUAAACAGAAGUGCUGAUCAGACAGAUACAAUUUAGCACUUGUUAAUGUAUGCAGCAUAGAUGCACAUACUACAGCAAAGGAAUUAAAAAUAAUGCUUCAAAAAUUAACAUUUUACUGAAAGUAAAGUUAAAAAAACCAGUGUAUUGUUUUAUCAAAAAUCAGAAAAACACCUAAC